Molecule: unclassified non-coding RNA, 405 nt
Filed under: soil metagenome
Description: partial contains 5.8S ribosomal RNA, internal transcribed spacer 2, and large subunit ribosomal RNA
Rfam family: 5.8S ribosomal RNA (bases 1-121)
Source: RNAcentral
GAUGAAGAACGCAGCGAAAUGCGAUAAGUAAUGUGAAUUGCAGAAUUCAGUGAAUCAUCGAAUCUUUGAACGCACCUUGCGCCCUUUGGCCAUUCCGAAGGGCAUGCCUGUUUGAGUAUCAUGAACACCUCAACUCUUUAUGGUUUUCCAUGAUGAGCUUGGACUUUGGGGGUUUUGCUGGCCUAUGGUCGGCUCCUCUAAAAUAAAUCAGCUUACCAGUGUUUGGUGGGUAUCAUGGGUGUGAUAACUAUCUACGCUUGUGGUUUUCCACCAGGUAACCUUCGAACAGCGGAGGUUCACUGGAGCUCAUAGAUGUCUCUCCUCAGCGAGGACAGCCCUUUGAAUGUUUGAUCUCAAAUCAGGUAGGACUACCCGCUGAACUUAAGCAUAUCAAUAAGCGGAGGA